RNAcentral lists this antisense RNA (75 nucleotides) under Streptomyces avermitilis MA-4680 = NBRC 14893. RNAcentral describes it as "Streptomyces avermitilis MA-4680 ASpks TB sRNA". It matches the Rfam family "ASpks TB sRNA". Lineage: Bacteria; Bacillati; Actinomycetota; Actinomycetes; Kitasatosporales; Streptomycetaceae. The record is from Rfam by way of RNAcentral.
CUUCAGCGAGCCGAGCCACAGCGGACGGCCCUCGGAACGCUCCUUGCCGUACGUCGCCAGCAGGGCCUGUGCCUC